CUAUUUUGGCAGAUUAAUUGUGUUAAAUUUAGAAUUUAUUAAUGUAGACUUACUACAAAUAGU
RNAcentral lists this transfer RNA (63 nucleotides) under Melanastera paucipunctata. RNAcentral's name for it is "Diclidophlebia paucipunctata tRNA-Leu". Lineage: Eukaryota; Metazoa; Arthropoda; Insecta; Hemiptera; Liviidae. The record is from RNAcentral.